GCACAAGCAGUGGAGUAUGUGGUUUAAUUCGAAGCAACGCGAAGAACCUUACCAGGUCUUGACAUCCGACUAACGGAGCAGAAAUGCACUGGUGCCCGCAAGGGAAAGUCGAGACAGGUGGUGCAUGGUUGUCGUCAGCUCGUGUCGUGAGAUGUUGGGUUAAGUCCCGCAACGAGCGCAACCCUUGUCAUUAGUUGCUACGGGAAGAGCACUCUAAUGAGACUGCCGUUGACAAAACGGAGGAAG
RNAcentral lists this ribosomal RNA (246 nucleotides) under uncultured bacterium. Its description in RNAcentral is "partial 16S ribosomal RNA". It matches the Rfam family "Bacterial small subunit ribosomal RNA", at positions 923 to 1172 of the family's 1533-position model. The record is from RNAcentral.